AGUCACUUUUCAAUUUUUUCUCUCAGUUUGUCAUUAAUUACUAUAUAAACAAACUGAAUAUCAGUCUGUCUGAACUACUGAAUAUGCUUAAAACAGCAAAGAGCCAUUUUAAAAGUGAAAAUGCUUCAGUUCUUCUUACUGUUAAGAUCAAUAAGAAGAAAGGCAAGAAGGGUUUCAAGAAAAAAUUAAACCCUAAGGC
This 199-nucleotide long non-coding RNA is filed under the name Elaeis guineensis (African oil palm). Its description in RNAcentral is "long non-coding RNA (EGUI_LNC050357)". The record is from RNAcentral. Lineage: Eukaryota; Viridiplantae; Streptophyta; Magnoliopsida; Arecales; Arecaceae.